Molecule: long non-coding RNA, 153 nt
Organism: Juglans microcarpa x Juglans regia
Lineage: Eukaryota; Viridiplantae; Streptophyta; Magnoliopsida; Fagales; Juglandaceae
Exons: 3
Source: RefSeq, a predicted model, not a curated record
CAAAUUACAAGAAAAAACUCCAACUUUGUUAUAGGACUAAUGUCAAGAACUAGAGCAGAAAGAUUAAAUUAAAAUUGAAAACCUCUUACCAAAGGGAAAAAAAAUUUAUGAACAAGACAUGACAAGGGAAAAAACUCCUUAAUAGAUAGAAGA